Molecule: RNA transcript, 2374 nt
Organism: Cicer arietinum (chickpea)
Lineage: Eukaryota; Viridiplantae; Streptophyta; Magnoliopsida; Fabales; Fabaceae
Gene name: pentatricopeptide repeat-containing protein At3g57430, chloroplastic-like
Source: RefSeq, a predicted model, not a curated record
ACUAAUAAUUUCAAAAUUUCAAUUGCUGUCCUCUUUCCUCCUAAUUUUCAAAUUCAAAGCAUUGUUGAUUCUUUCUCUCACAAAACAACCUAACAAAUCUUUCAACCACAAAUUCCCAUCACUGAAACCAAUCAUGAGUAUCAACUUCCCCUAACCAAUUCAUUCCACCACACCAUCAAUAACUAAUUAACAAUGUCACGUAAAUUCUUAUCAUCACUACUUCGAACUUCCACAACCCAUUCCACUACCUCACAAUGCCACGCUCAAACCAUCCUCCAAUCCUUACUUCCAAACGUCAUUCUUGAAACCGACCUUUUGUUGGCUUACUCAAAAUUGGGCCUAAUGGGUCACGCUCGCAAACUGUUCGACAAAAUGUCGCAAAGAAAUAUGCAUUCUUGGAACAUCAUGAUUGCUUCUUAUGCUCAUAACUCAAUGUUUUUCGAUGCCUUAACCGUUUUUCAAGGCUUUAAAAGAUGUGGGUCAUUGCCGGAUCGUUAUACUUUGCCGCCAUUGUUUAAAAUUUCUGUGGGAAUUGGUGAACCUUACUUUGGAUGGAUGUGUCAUGGUUUGGUCAUAAAGCUUGGUUACGUGGAAAUUGUUGUCGUAACUAAUUCUGUCCUUGAGUUUUAUGUCAAAUGUGGGACCAUGUCUCAGGCUUUGUCUGUGUUCUCCCAUCAUAAUGGUUCUUGGGAUUCUGUGACAUGGAAUUUGAUGAUUUCUGGGUUUGGAAAGGCUGGCUUGUAUUCUGAUGCUAUCCGUUGUUUCAGAGAGAUGUUGAAGCAUCAAAGUGGGACUGAGUUGGAUUACAUGAUACUCCCUAGCAUUUUGAGUGCUUGUGGGAAGGAAGGGGAUUUGUUGAAAGUGAAGGAAGUGCAUGGCUUUAUUGUUAGGAACUUUAGUUUUGGUGUUGAUGUUCCCAUUGGGAAUGCAUUGAUUGAUAAUUAUGGCAAAUGUGGUUGCUUGAAGGAUUCGGAAAAUGUCUUCAAGACCAUGAGCUGUGUAAAUUUGGUGACAUUGACGACUAUGAUAUCUUGUUUUGGGAUGCAUGGAAAGGGGGAGGAGUCAGUUUUUCUAUUUGAGAAGAUGAUCCAUGAGGGGUUUAAACCAAAUGCUGUUACUCUCACAGCUAUUUUAGCUAGUUGUAGCCACUCUGGUUUGGUGGAUCAAGGCAAGAAGAUUUUCAACUCAAUGAUUUCAGAUUAUGGAUUUGAACCCACUGCUGAACAUUAUGCCUGUAUGGUGGAUCUUUUUGGCCGCUGUGGGUGUCUUGAGGAAGCCCUUCAGUUGUUGAAAAGAAUGAAGUCUUCAUCAGUGACAGGAAGCAUGUGGGGUGCCCUUCUUGCCAGUUGUGUCAUGCACAAGAAUGUCGAAAUUGGAGAAGUUGCAGCGUAUCAUCUUUUUCAAUUAGAGCCAAAUAAUACUAGCAACUAUGUAGCUUUGUGUGGAAUCUAUCAGUCUCGUGGUAUGGCUCAUGGCUUUUCAACUGUUAGAGCAAAGAUGAGGGAUUUAGGUUUGAUUAAAACUCCUGGAUGUAGCUGGAUAAAUACUGCAGGAAGAGCUCAUAAAUUCUACCAAGGGGACCUUUCUCAUCCACUUUCUGAUAUGAUUUGCAAGAUACUAUACGAAAUUAGCAACACUCAGAUAUCAACUGAUGAUUUGGGAGUAGGAUAUUUGCUCCAUGAUUUAUGAUGAUAAUACUGUCAUGGCUUUCUAGAAGAACAUUAGAGCCAGUUCAUCUGAGCCGAGUCAGGAAGGGAUCAGCAUUAAAGUAAUGUGAUUGCUAAAUGUUGUGGUUUUAUGAUUCUUGUCAGUUACUAUCUUUAACCAACAUUGUAUACAAGGCUUAUGUAUCAAAUCAUCUUUUGUGGGGGUGUCAACUGUCAAGAGGUUCUCCCAUCUCAAAGCCUAUGACUGAUUUCAGCUGAAAUGGUAAUUGCUUAGGUCACCUUUACAUUUAUGUCUUGCUUUUUUUAUUUUGUGGCAUUUUUUUUUCUCUUUCAAAAAUAAUGGGCAAGACAUAAAUGAAUAACUGAUCUGAGUCAAGUUUUCAGCCAAUAUGGAGAAUCAGAAUAUGUGAAGAUUCCAGUGGACAAAUGAUGCAGCACUCUUAUUGUUCCUUGAUUUUUCAUGCAUCCUGCUGUGCAGAAGAGGCACUAUGAAAUUUAAAUGGAAUGUUACUGAGAGGACAAGAUGUUCCACUUUCAUGUGUCUGCAGUCCUUCAAACAAACAGGUAAUUGUAUUCACUGAGGUUGAUAGAUGUGGCACCUAUCGCAGAUAAGAUGGCAGUAUCUUAUGAGUUAUGAUAUUGUUAUUGAAUAAUAGUUUAUAUUAUAAUAAUAAUAAUAAUAAUCUAUAAAGUAGACUAUUUUAAAU